AGAAAUGACUGCUAAUACCGCAUAAGCGCACGAAGCCGCAUGGAUUUGUGUGAAAAACUCCGGUGGUGUAAGAUGGACCCGCGUCUGAUUAGCUUGUUGGCGGGGUAACGGCCCACCAAGGCGACGAUCAGUAGCCGGCCUGAGAGGGUGGACGGCCACAUUGGGACUGAGACACGGCCCAAACUCCUACGGGAGGCAGCAGUGGGGGAUAUUGGACAAUGGGGGGAACCCUGAUCCAGCGACGCCGCGUGAGUGAAGAAGUAUUUCGGUAUGUAAAGCUCUGUCAGCAGGGAAGAAAGAAAUGACGGUACCUGACCAAGAAGCCCCGGCUAACUACGUGCCGGCAGCCGCGGUAAUACGUAGGGGGCAAGCGUUAUCCGGAAUUACUGGGUGUAAAGGGAGCGUAGACGGUUAAGUAAGUCUGGAGUGAAAGGCCGGGGCUCAACCCCGGGACUGCUCUGGAAACUAUUUAACUUGAGUGCAGGAGAGGUAAGCGGAAUUCCUAGUGUAGCGGUGAAAUGCGUAGAUAUUAGGAGGAACACCAGUGGCGAAGGCGGCUUACUGGACUGUAACUGACGUUGAGGCUCGAAAGCGUGGGGAGCAAACAGGAUUAGAUACCCUGGUAGUCCACGCCGUAAACGAUGAUUACUAGGUGU
RNAcentral lists this ribosomal RNA (656 nucleotides) under uncultured bacterium. RNAcentral describes it as "bacterial SSU rRNA". It matches the Rfam family "Bacterial small subunit ribosomal RNA", at positions 152 to 823 of the family's 1533-position model. The record is from RNAcentral.